RNAcentral lists this ribosomal RNA (440 nucleotides) under uncultured bacterium. RNAcentral's name for it is "partial 16S ribosomal RNA". It matches the Rfam family "Bacterial small subunit ribosomal RNA", at positions 338 to 795 of the family's 1533-position model. The record is from RNAcentral.
CCUACGGGGAGCAGCAGUGGGGAAUAUUGCACAAUGGGGGAAACCCUGAUGCAGCGACGCCGCGUGAGUGAAGAAGUAUUUCGGUAUGUAAAGCUCUAUCAGCAGGGAAGAAAAUGACGGUACCUGAUUAAGAAGCCCCGGCUAACUACGUGCCAGCAGCCGCGGUAAUACGUAGGGGGCAAGCGUUAUCCGGAUUUACUGGGUGUAAAGGGGGCGUAGACGGCAGCACAAGUCUGGAGGGAAAUGCCGGGGCUUAACCCCGGAACUGCUUUGGAAACUGUGCAGCUAGAGUGCAGGAGAGGUAAGUGGAAUUCCUAGUGUAGCGGUGAAAUGCGUAGAUAUUAGGAGGAACACCAGUGGCGAAGGCGGCUUACUGGACUGUAACUGACGUUGAGGCUCGAAAGCGUGGGGAGCAAACAGGAUUAGAUACCCUAGUAGUC